This 468-nucleotide ribosomal RNA is filed under the name uncultured bacterium. Its description in RNAcentral is "partial 16S ribosomal RNA". It matches the Rfam family "Bacterial small subunit ribosomal RNA", at positions 28 to 507 of the family's 1533-position model. The record is from RNAcentral.
GACGAACGCUGGCGGCGUGCUUAACACAUGCAAGUCGAACGGAAAGGCCCUGCUUUUGUGGGGUGCUCGAGUGGCGAACGGGUGAGUAACACGUGAGUAACCUGCCCUUGACUUUGGGAUAACUUCAGGAAACUAGGGCUAAUACCGGAUAGGAGCUCCUGCUGCAUGGUGGGGGUUGGAAAGUUUCGGCGGUCGGGGAUGGACUCGCGGCUUAUCAGCUUGUUGGUGGGGUAGUGGCUUACCAAGGCUUUGACGGGUAGCCGGCCUGGGAGGGUGACCGGCCACAUUGGGACUGAGAUACGGCCCAGACUCCUACGUGAGGCAGCAGUGGGGAAUAUUGCACAAUGGGCGGAAGCCUGAUGCAGCAACGCCGCGUGCGGGAUGACGGCCUUCGGGUUGUAAACCGCUUUCGCCUGUGACGAAGCGUGAGUGACGGUAAUGGGUAAAGAAGCACCGGCUAACUACGUG